Molecule: non-coding RNA, 1199 nt
Organism: Microcebus murinus (gray mouse lemur)
Lineage: Eukaryota; Metazoa; Chordata; Mammalia; Primates; Cheirogaleidae
Source: RefSeq, a predicted model, not a curated record
UAGAAAAAGGGGCAGUCAUUCUGGAAGCGUCUUCCAAAGCCAAUCACAAUGAACUCUGCUGGGGUGCCAGCCCUACUAUUGUUCUCAAAGACGCCAAUGAAAGUCGUUACAUGAGCAAGCUGCGAACCUAUAACCAAAUGUGUCAACUCACGAACAAUCAAGUCACUCCCCGAUCCAUGCUGGAUAUUAGCCAAGAUCUGGAUAUUAGCAGCUGAGUGAGUUGCGCAACGCUGUCCCUCGGGGGGGAUCGUUGGAUGGGAGGGAUUUUCCAGCUCGUGACUUGGAUGAACCUGGAGUUAUUUCCCUAUCGACAGCCCCAGCCUGAGAGGCACCAGCAGCCUCGGCUGAGGGGUGGCUGGGACGGAGCGGGGGUGUGGGCCGGCCCAGUCUGUCCACGCCUGGCCUGGUGCUGUGGCCCUCGGAAGUCUCAGGGGAUUCGGGCCUACACAGCAGCCCACGAGAGCUCUCUGGAAAGCCGGGCUCCUGGGUGGGGAGGGGGCUGGUUUCCAGGGAAACAGGGCACCCUCUGCCCAGCAGGGAGAGGGCCAGAGCUAGUGGACAGGCCGGGGAGCAGACCCCGGCCCUUGGAGCUGAAGGGCCUAGGGUGGGGGAGGAGGAUGCCGUGUGGGAAGAGGGCAGGAAGGGGGACUUGGCACCGGCCUCCGCUGCCUGGUCUCAAUUUACUUGUGAGGAGCCUCCUAAUAGCCGGGUGAGAGCUGUGCACGCUUUCCUGAGAGCCUGCUAAGUGUUUAUGGAAUGAUUUGUGAGCAGAAGUUUCUUUGGAAGCAGCUAGGGGAAGGCACAGCAGCCCUGGGGCAUUGAGUUUUUUACCUCUCCAGAUCUUAUAGCUGAGAAAACUAAAGCCCGGAGAUUGAAGCCACUCUGUUGAGAUCACACAGACUAUGACUAGUUUGCAAAUUGAAGGAAGAUUGUCCUUUGUUCAGAACAUGAUUGAGACUGAUUCACCAUUUAACAAAAUUAUGUCACCGAUGUCAACACUUCUCAUGAUGUUCAAGCACUGAUGUGGGACACCUGGCCAGUCUGCACACACAGCAGUUACAAUCAAGGACAGUGCACGAGUUCCUACAGAUCCCUGGGCCUCAGUCUCCAUGAGGAACUGGUUUCCGUGAAGCCCCCGGGAAGGCUAGGCCAGCAGAGCCUCUGGGAAGGGCGCUGCGGGCCGGGGUGGCUGCACGCUG